This 401-nucleotide ribosomal RNA is filed under the name uncultured bacterium. Its description in RNAcentral is "bacterial SSU rRNA". It matches the Rfam family "Bacterial small subunit ribosomal RNA", at positions 355 to 774 of the family's 1533-position model. The record is from RNAcentral.
UAACGAAUCUUCCGCAAUGCGCGAAAGCGUGACGGAGCAAUGCCGCGUGCAGGUUAAGCCCCUCGGGGUGUAAACUGCUGUCAGGAGCGACCAAGUUCUGAGGAGCUCCAGAGGAAGAGACGGCUAACUCUGUGCCAGCAGCCGCGGUAAUACAGAGGUCUCAAGCGUUGCGCGGAUUCACUGGGCUUAAAGCGUGCGUAGGCGGGUCUGCAAGUACUUUGUGAAAUCCCACCGCUCAACGGUGGAAUUGCUUGGUAAACUGCAUGCCUUGAGGUCGAUAGGGGCUGCCGGAACAGUAGGUGGAGCGGUGAUAUGCGUAGAUAUCUACUGGAACGCCAAAGGUGAAGACAGGCAGCUGGGUCGAUUCUGACGCUGAGGCACGAAAGCGUGGGUAGCGAACG